RNAcentral lists this ribosomal RNA (445 nucleotides) under uncultured bacterium. Its description in RNAcentral is "SSU rRNA". It matches the Rfam family "Bacterial small subunit ribosomal RNA", at positions 26 to 518 of the family's 1533-position model. The record is from RNAcentral.
AGAGCGAACGCUGGCGGCAGGCCUAACACAUGCAAGUCGAGCGCCCCGCAAGGGGAGCGGCAGACGGGAGAGUAACACGUGGGAACGUACCCUUUGGUUCGGAACAACACAGGGAAACUUGUGCUAAUACCGGAUAAGCCCUUACGGGGAAAGAUUUAUUGCCAAAGGAUCGGCCCGCGUCUGAUUAGCUUGUUGGUGAGGUAACGGCUCACCAAGGCUACGAUCAGUAGCUGGUCUGAGAGGAUGAUCAGCCUCACUGGGACUGAGACACGGCCCAGACUCCACGGGUUAGGCAGCAGUGGGGAAUAUUGGACAAUGGGCGCAAGCCUGAUCCAGCCAUGCCGCGUGGAUGAUGAAGGCCCUAGGGUUGUAAAGUCCUUUCGACGGGGAAGAUAAUGACGGUACCCGUAGAAGAAGCCCCGGCUAACUUCGUGCCAGCAGCCGC